RNAcentral lists this ribosomal RNA (548 nucleotides) under Diaporthe sp. RH23. Its description in RNAcentral is "eukaryotic LSU rRNA". The stretch from base 189 to 342 matches the Rfam family "5.8S ribosomal RNA". The record is from RNAcentral. Lineage: Eukaryota; Fungi; Ascomycota; Sordariomycetes; Diaporthales; Diaporthaceae.
UUGUUGGACGCGCUUCGGCGCACCUCCAGACAACCCUUUGUGAACUUAUACCUAUACUGUUGCCUCGGCGUCAGGCUGGCUCCCCUCGGGGGGUCCCUCACCAUCUCGGUGAGGAGCAGGCCCGCCGGCGGCCAAGUUAACUCUUGUUUUUACACUGAAACUCUGAGAAUAAAACAAAAAUGAAUCAAAACUUUCAACAACGGAUCUCUUGGUUCUGGCAUCGAUGAAGAACGCAGCGAAAUGCGAUAAGUAAUGUGAAUUGCAGAAUUCAGUGAAUCAUCGAAUCUUUGAACGCACAUUGCGCCCUCUGGUAUUCCGGAGGGCAUGCCUGUUCGAGCGUCAUUUCAACCCUCAAGCCUGGCUUGGUGAUGGGACACUGCCUUUGAGAAAAGGCAGGUCCUGAAAUUCAGUGGCGAGCUCGCCAGGACCCCGAGCGCAGUAGUUAAACCCUCGCUUUGGAAGGUCUUGGUGCGGCCCUGCCGUUAAACCCCCAACUUCUGAAAAUUUGACCUCGGAUCAGGUAGGAAUACCCGCUGAACUUAAGCAUA